Xyrauchen texanus (razorback sucker) is the source of this 1565-nucleotide long non-coding RNA. RefSeq lists it as uncharacterized. The record is from RefSeq and is a predicted model, not a curated record. NCBI's taxonomy places the organism in Eukaryota, Metazoa, Chordata, Actinopteri, Cypriniformes, Catostomidae. The transcript is spliced from 9 exons.
UGUAAUGGCGGCGUAGAGGUACUGACCAAUUUGCUGUCAUGAAGGCAGCUAAAGAGAGUGUAGAGGGUCGUCGUCAGACAUCAAGAUAUGUGGAUAAGCAGCCUUGAUUUGCCUUCAGGACAGCUCUCCUAGGAAAAACAGUCGAUCUGGAAGUGCAAUGCUUGAGUCGAACCUCGCGCUGCACCAGACAUCACACACAGGAAGCAUCCGAUUGACAAGCUGCCGUCUUUUCAUAAACACCUAACCUCUCUCUACUGGCAAACCUUGCAUCCAAACCAACCGAUGACCCCCUCUUCCAGACAUGAGCCAUACCUACAUCUUUUCCAGUGUCUUCCAGGGCUAUUUGAUAGUUCAAAGGACCCAGCUGCUAGAGAAUACGUUUCUCAGUUGUCUCAUCCUGGAGGAGGCAGCAUCUGGAUUUAGAUUAGGCCCAUGAAGUAUUUUGUCCAUUGGACUUUGGAAUUUCCUGCCAAGCUGGAGCUCUGCUGGGGAUAGUCCAGUGAUCUCUUGAACGGCUGAAUUCGGGGCGAAUCGGAAUUCUGAUGAGACAAACUGAACACCCCUAUCUGAGAGGAUGAAGUCUGGCACACCCCACCUUGUCAGGAUUUAUUUUCGGAAGACAGAGGCAACAUUCUGGGCAGUGGCAUUACGAAUGGGGAAGAACUCAACACAUCGGGAAUAAUAAUCGACAAAGACAAGCAGAUUCCUCCAUGUGCACUCAUGGGAGUGGAAUGAUAGUGCUGGAGAAGGGAGGAUCUGAGACUGCUGGGAAUGUAGACUCGGUAAUGCUGUUGGUUAUUUGCCAGAGCAACAUCUGAUACAGGCAGUUCUGGUUCCUUUUCACUGGUGUACAGGUUACAUCUGGAGGUAACGGAAGACCUGGAUAGAGCAUCGGGAGCUAUAUUUAGCUUCCCUUUUCGGUACUCAAUGACAAAAUCGAAUUUCUGCAAUCGCACAACCCAACGGAUGAGGCGGCUAGUGGUUUUAGUGGAGCUCAUGACCCAUUGUAGCGCAGAAUGGUCGGUGACAACUGUAAAAAACCUGUGCUCCAAGUAGUGUUGCCACUUUUCCAGGGCCCAGACAACUGCAAGACAUUCUUUCUCUGUUGCAGUGUAGUUGAAUUCGGCCCCAGUUAAGGUUCUGCUUGCAUAGGCGAUAACCUCCUCUCUGCCAGCAUUCCGCUGUUGUGUCAAAAUGGCACCCAGACCAGUGUCACUGGCAUCAGUAAAUACAGUGAAUGGGUGCUGAAGAUCAGGAUGGCCAAGAAUGGGUGGUGAGCGAGUUUAGGGGUUCGGCUAUCCUUGAAAAGUUCGGGACAAACCGGUGGUACCACCCAGCCAAUCCAAGGAACCUCUGAACUUCCUUCAAGUUUCUAGGUACAGGGGUCCAUUGUCACCUGCCAAUAUCCACUGUUGAGAUCAAUGGUAGAGAAGAUGGCUGCCCCAGAGAGUGAUUCCAGGAUUUCUGUGAUGUUGGGAAAGGGGUACCAAGACCACCGGUGAAGCCCAGAGUGGGAGGGUUCGAUUAUUUCCUGCCUCAACAUCUCAUCAAGUUGCUCUUCCAUG